Molecule: transfer RNA, 79 nt
Filed under: Fistulina hepatica ATCC 64428
Lineage: Eukaryota; Fungi; Basidiomycota; Agaricomycetes; Agaricales; Fistulinaceae
Description: tRNA-Leu (TAG) (tRNA-Leu-TAG-1-1)
Rfam family: tRNA
About the family: Transfer RNA (tRNA) molecules are approximately 80 nucleotides in length.
Source: RNAcentral
GGCGACUUGGCCGAGUGGUUAUGGCGCUGGAAUUAGGAUCCAGUUCUUCGGAGCGUGGGUUCGAACCCCACAGUCGUCA